Molecule: ribosomal RNA, 117 nt
Filed under: Actinomadura sp. HBU206391
Lineage: Bacteria; Bacillati; Actinomycetota; Actinomycetes; Streptosporangiales; Thermomonosporaceae
Source: RNAcentral
UUCGGUGGCCAUGGCGGAGGGGAAACACCCGGUCCCAUCCCGAACCCGGAAGUUAAGCCCUCCAGCGCCGAUGGUACUGCACGGGAGACCGUGUGGGAGAGUAGGACGCCGCCGGAC